This 528-nucleotide ribosomal RNA is filed under the name uncultured Glomus. Its description in RNAcentral is "SSU rRNA". It matches the Rfam family "Eukaryotic small subunit ribosomal RNA", at positions 561 to 1092 of the family's 1831-position model. The record is from RNAcentral. Lineage: Eukaryota; Fungi; Glomeromycota; Glomeromycetes; Glomerales; Glomeraceae.
CUGGUGCCAGCAGCCGCGGUAAUCCAGCUCCAAUAGCGUAUAUUAAAGUUGUUGCAGUUAAAAGCUCGUAGUUGAAUUUCGGGGUUAGUAGGUUGGUCAUGCCUCUGGUAUGUACUGGUCUCACUGAUUCCUCCUUCCUGAUGAACUGUAAUGCCAUUAAUUUGGUGUUGCGGGAAUUUGGACUGUUACUUUGAAAAAAUUAGAGUGUUUAAAGCAAGCUAACGCUUGAAUACAUUAGCAUGGAAUAAUGAAAUAGGACGUUCGAUCCUAUUUUGUUGGUUUCUAGGGAUUGACGUAAUGAUUAAUAGGGAUAGUUGGGGGCAUUAGUAUUCAAUUGUCAGAGGUGAAAUUCUUGGAUUUAUUGAAGACUAACUACUGCGAAAGCAUUUGCCAAGGAUGUUUUCAUUAAUCAAGAACGAAAGUUAGGGGAUCGAAGACGAUCAGAUACCGUCGUAGUCUUAACCAUAAACUAUGCCGACUAGGGAUCGAAUGAUGUUAAUUUUUUAAUGACUCAUUCGGCGCCUUACG